Molecule: ribosomal RNA, 497 nt
Filed under: uncultured bacterium
Lineage: Bacteria
Description: partial 16S ribosomal RNA
Rfam family: Bacterial small subunit ribosomal RNA
Source: RNAcentral
GAUGAACGCUGGCGGCGUGCCUAAUACAUGCAAGUCGAGCGAACAGACGAGGAGCUUGCUCCUCUGACGUUAGCGGCGGACGGGUGAGUAACACGUGGAUAACCUACCUAUAAGACUGGGAUAACUUCGGGAAACCGGAGCUAAUACCGGAUAAUAUAUUUAACCGCAUGGUUCAAUAGUGAAAGACGGUUUUGCUGUAACUUAUAGAUGGAUCCGCGCCGCAUUAGCUAGUUGGUAAGGUAACGGCUUACCAAGGCAACGAUGCGUAGCCGACCUGAGAGGGUGAUCGGCCACACUGGAACUGAGACACGGUCCAGACUCCUACGGGAGGCAGCAGUAGGGAAUCUUCCGCAAUGGGCGAAAGCCUGACGGAGCAACGCCGCGUGAGUGAUGAAGGUCUUCGGAUCGUAAAACUCUGUUAUUAGGGAAGAACAAAUGUGUAAGUAACUAUGCACGUCUUGACGGUACCUAAUCAGAAAGCCACGGCUAACUACGUG